Molecule: ribosomal RNA, 253 nt
Filed under: uncultured prokaryote
Description: partial 16S ribosomal RNA
Rfam family: Bacterial small subunit ribosomal RNA
Source: RNAcentral
ACAGAGGGGGCAAGCGUUGUUCGGAAUUACUGGGCGUAAAGGGCGCGUAGGCGGCCUGUUAAGUCGAACGUGAAAUCCCUAGGCUCAACCUAGGAACUGCGUCCGAUACUGGCAGGCUUGAAUCCGGGAGAGGGAUGUGGAAUUCCAGGUGUAGCGGUGAAAUGCGUAGAUAUCUGGAGGAACACCGGUGGCGAAGGCGGCAUCCUGGACCGGUAUUGACGCUGAGGCGCGAAAGCCAGGGGAGCAAACGGGA